Molecule: ribosomal RNA, 492 nt
Filed under: uncultured bacterium
Lineage: Bacteria
Description: partial 16S ribosomal RNA
Rfam family: Bacterial small subunit ribosomal RNA
Source: RNAcentral
AGUGAACGCUGGCGGUAGGCCUAACACAUGCGAGUCGAACGGCAGCACAGUAAGAGCUUGCUCUUACGGGUGGCGAGUGGCGGACGGGUGAGGAAUACAUCGGAAUCUACUUUUUCGUGGGGGAUAACGUAGGGAAACUUACGCUAAUACCGCAUACGACCUACGGGUGAAAGCAGGGGAUCUUCGGACCUUGCGCGAUUGAAUGAGCCGAUGUCGGAUUAGCUAGUUGGCGGGGUAAAGGCCCACCAAGGCGACGAUCCGUAGCUGGUCUAAGAGGAUGAUCAGCCACACUGGAACUGAGACACGGUCCAGACUCCUACGGGAGGCAGCAGUGGGGAAUAUUGGACAAUGGGCGCAAGCCUGAUCCAGCCAUACCGCGUGGGUGAAGAAGGCCUUCGGGUUGUAAAGCCCUUUUGUUGGGAAAGAAAAGCAGCAGGUUAAUACCCCGCUGUUCUGACGGUACCCAAAGAAUAAGCACCGGCUAACUUCGUG